UCUGGCUGGUCCCCUUAGGCUGGUCCCGUAAGCCCCCCGCCGGGGCAGCCCGCGGAGGUGGUGAGGAGCGGGGAGGCAACACUGGAAAAUGUGCCAGCAAACCCGUCACUGCUACAGACCUACCCCAGCCUUACUGUCCACUUGUCCACAGGUUUCCAGAGCUUUUGGUUGUUGACCGAAGCUGAAGUCCCACUCCCUAUAAAACUGAAGUAGAAAUGGACGUAGACAAAAAGCAUCCCAUGGUGCAUACAGCCGUUUGGGAACAGUUUGGUUUGUUGAAAGAAGAUCUUCAGUAUAUCUUGAAAACUAAUGGCACAUGCAAAUGUAUAUGGGCUGCCGAAAACAUACAGAAUCACAAAACCACAGGUUGGAAGGGACCUCAGGGAUCAUCUAGUCCAACCUUUCUGGGAAGAGCACAGUCUAGACAAGAUGGCCCAGCACCCUGUCCAGACAACUCUUGAAGAUGUCCAACGUGGCCGAGUCAACCACUUCCCUGGGGAGAUUAUUCCAAUGUUUGCUAGUGCAGGGAUGUAUGGAUACUAAAGGCUGGACCUCUUCCUUCCUUUCGUGCAAUUCCCAGCUUCUGGAGACAGCAGUGAAAAUUCUGCCAUCAGCCCAGCCCCUUCUGAAAGAGCUCCUCCAAACACGUGCCUGCAGGACCCGACACAUUUCCUUACACCUCUCAGAACCUACCAGAUGCUAUAGAUAACAUCUGACAAGAAACUUUCAAGGAAGCUUAAUCCCAUCAUAAGUGCAAUGUUUGCUGGUAUUAUUCUACCCACUGGCUAUCUAAACAGCUACUAAUGCCACAUACUGAAGGAUAUAUUCACUUUCAGCUGUGGGAGGAUCCAGUUCAGUAAAUAUUGAAGGAGAGGAAAGGGGAACACAGGACAGUGUAACAAAGAGGAAAACGCUGAAAAGCAAGAUAAAAUAAACCCCUGCAAUGCCUGAGUAUGCCUACUGGACAAUAUCAAAGCUCUGGCAAGGGUGGAAGUGGUUUGUACUAAGAGCCCUCACAAGUCCUCUAGUAAGUUCUUCCUGCAUCGGUCAUUCUAUUUUGAGGCCCUGUGAGGGCCAAGUUCCAGAUGUAUCUCUAAGUCAGAUCAUAUAACAAGCACCUCUGUCAUUCAGAGGGUAAUGUCAUUAUUCAGUAAGAGGAGAAUUUAAUAAGGGGACAUAUGGUGCAAGUGUUGGAAACCCUAUUUUUAAAGGGGUAUUUGAGCUACAAAAACAUUUAAUGUCACUUCUGUACACACUAACAUACUAAUUAAUUGAGAAUUAACUAUUUUACCAACCAGAUCUUGAGCUUCCUUCCUAUACAACAGUAUCCCCUUAAAAAGUGAUUUCUGAGAAUUCCUGUGAACAGCGAAACUGCAGAGAAUAAACACUAUUAUUUAAGUAAGCUAAUAAAAUAAAGAUAACAAGCACUGAAAGGAACAAGUUCAAAGUCAGAGCUUUGAUGUUGCAUUUCUUUUUACUCAUUAAAAACCACAAACAAAGGAAAAAUUCUGAAAGAGGCACAGAGGAGAGCCAAGCCUAGAAAGUUUGCACAGAGAAGUAAUUUGAAGUUGGCUUUUCCAGUUGCAGAACAAGGAUGAUCUCAUGCAAAGGUCUGCACCAGGAUCCACUGCCGACAGAUGAGUCAUUUUAAAUUCAUUCUACCAGGAAACCACAUUCCUCUGCUGAAUGCAGGCUGUCUAGAGGCUUCAGGACCCUGAGGAACAACAAGCAUUUAUUUGCCAGUUCACCUUCUACCAGAAAAACCCUGAACCUGCAGCACUCCCGGCAGCCAUCUCUCCCAGGAUCUGGAGGGACGCGCAGUUAUGCCAGCAAACUCCGUUUGCCGGAAAAUAAAUUUGAGGUGUGCUCAGCUAGCAACAGUGCGAGGCUGUGUCAGAGCCAAAUGUCGGCCAGGCGAGCAGAGCUGAGCAGGGAGAGAAACUGAUGAUUCGACAGUCGGAAGAAGCACCUUGCUGCUCUGCGCUGACUCGAUGCAUUCUGUGCCCAGCGUGCACCAGCUGCUCGGCACAGUCUCCCUGAUGGAGGGAGCAGGCAGCAGGCUGCGGUGAAACCCGAGAGUUCACAGCCAGCCACCCCACCUACAGGCACGGCUCCCACAGCUAUAAAAAGGAGAUUCACUCACUUCCAGUGUUGUCAGACUCCCCGUGGGAAGGGUCGGUGCUGGGAAGAGUUUAGGAGCUGGGUGGGCCGGCAGCACUGACAGAUGUCCGGAUAUGAGAAAGCACUCAGCCACACUUGCUCCCCUCCACCUGGGUGUACAACAUAUCUGCCCUAGUGUGUGUGUGUCUGUGUCUCUUAACCAUGCAACUGUCUUGGAGCAGUCCUCAGUAAACAAAUGUAGCAUCCCUUUCUUUUUCCCCCACUGUCAGUAGCUCUGAGGCUUCCUGAUCCACAUUGUUCUCUUCAACCAUUAAUAUUUACCUCUAUAAAUGGUUUAUGGUGUUAGCCACUCUAUAUCACAACAUCUUCAACAUUCCUUCUUUCCUGUUCCCUUUCUCCCCACUGUUUUGUAUGCCCAUGAACAUACACAACCUGUCUGCUUUGAGACUCCCUGCAGUGAGGUGUGACACUGCAGCACCAUGACCAAAGGCUAAAGAGGCCUUGGGGUCAGGUAGAUGGCUGCAAGUGGUGAACAACAGCAAGUGUACACAGAUCCCAAUACUCCCACAGUCAGGCUUUCAGCCAAAGCCGUUCUGUUUUGGGCAAGGGAGCCUGCAUUUCCAGCCUGGACAAACAGGUUCUAGAAUACUUCAGGAGAAGCUCAGGUGUGCCUGGGGACACUGCGGCAAGGGGGAAGAACAGAACCGAGCUCUGGAAAACUCUCAAUGUUAACUCUACAGAGAAGAGAUUCAUGGUUGGACGCUAUGAACCAAAUGAAAUUAUUCUAUGGUUCUAUGGAUUCCCUCUGAAUGCUUUAAUUCCUGCUCCACAGGACAGCCAUCCAGGAGACCAAAAAUGGCCAUUUUUUUGUUUUAUUUGCCUUCUUUCAAAUACAGUUCUUGCUCAUUCUAUUAACAAACAUGUUACCUGAAAAAGCCCAGAGCUCACAUUUAACACAAAUCUGCACAGAGAGAUAUGACCAAUAAAUAAAUGCAAGUGGUAGUCUGUCAUCUUUCCCAGUUUAAGUAUAAAAAACAGGAACCCUACUCAGAUUUCUGCAUUAAAAAAACUGAAGUAAGUUUCUCCUGCCCUCAUUCAAGGAAACAAGUUCUUUGACAGUAACAUUGAGAGUAAUUGUAAGCAACAGAGUAUCGAUGAAUCUUCUCAUCAGUAGCAGGACUGACAAUCAGCACUGCAGGAAUCCCAGCUGUGAUCACACACUUUCACAUUUAAGAGACAGAAUCCCCAAAAAGAAACAAAAUAAAAUGAAAAAAAACCCUAAACCCUCCCUCGAGCAGCUCAGAAAUUUUGACAACAGUCCUGGCCUACACUUCGGGUAGCCUGAACACCACUAGAAACUCAGACCCAAUCCACCAUUUCAGGAGGUUCCAGACAAGUAUAAAGGAGCCAUCAUUGCCAGCCAAGAGAAAAAAAGCAUCACUGCGUUUUGAACAAGCUGCAAGUAGAGCAGCCAAGCCAUGCUGGGAGAUCUGCUCAGGCCGAAUGACAGCACUCCCACCUCUGGGACGAGGACAUGCAUUUCUGUUGUGAGGCCAUCACCAUGAUAAAUAAAGGUGCAGCCAGCACGAGUUGUGCAACUGGAAAAAACACUUCAUACCCCCACAUCCUACUCUUGGCUUCCCAUGGGAAGGGCACAGUCUGCAGUGACGCUGAAAUCCUCAAACUUGCUCAGAUUUUAAGUGAGUUCUGACACUGCACGCCACUGGAUCGAAAAAAGUGACAGCAAGAAUAAAACAUAACCUUGCAACAAAACUCCCAGUACAGCUGUACUUUGGAGUGGAUAAUGGCCUAACUCCUCAUGUGCCCCAGUGACUGCUCAAGUGUGAUUCCAGACUGAAACACAAAAACCUGCAAACUCAGUCACUGCUGAUGCUAGCAAAUUGCCACUGAAGUCAUCCAGAUGGCUGUACCAGUAGAAUGAGAUUUGUCAAAAUACUCUGUAUGCAUGCUAGAUUACUUGAAUGGUUGUAUCAAACUUGGAAUCUCCCUUUUGAGACUGCUUGCAUAGUAUGUUUUUCAUUCCUCUUAUACUAAAAUGGUCUACAGAAAAACAAGUUAAAAAGCAAGUUUUGCUGCCAUCACACUCUUGCAUUUUUCCUCACCUGUACUGAUAUUAUUUGUAGUAAAUUCAGUUCUCUAAAGCAUGUAUGCAUUAUACAUACGUGCAGCACCUCUGUAGCUCUUGCAGGGCAGCAGUGCAAAUGUUUAAAUUGUAUUUGUUUUGUAAAUAUUAUCUAGCAAAGGAACACAAAUUUCAAAUAUUACCAAGAGAUUAAAUGUCUCUUUCUGUAUGCAAACAGACUUCAGUAUGGUUCUGAACUUCUAAGCUGCUGCUGUGAAGAGUAUCAUGCAAAUAAAAGUAUUCUGGCUGCUCAAAUGACUGAGAAAACGCCAGUAUCUGACAAAAUGUGACUUGAGAGCACACUUCCCAUGAUUUUAUGCCUGGAUCCUAUAUUUAGGAAGACAGGAGUAGUAUGAUUUUGUUCUUUCACAACAGAAUACAACAAUAAAACUAGAAUGACUGACUGAAAUAAGACAACUAAGUUUUUGCACAUAUACUCAAAUCUAAUUUUUAUCAAAAAUAGCCAUGAAUAACCAAAAAAGCCAGUAGUACCUAAUAUUCAAAUCUGAGAAUGAUGUACCAAACCUAUUUAUUUAAAAAACAAAGAAACAGCCAUUUUAUGUCAUGGAAAGGCAAAACUUUCACCAUUAGAAUUGGAUUUCAUACCUGCUCAUAUUUUACUUUUGGCCAGACCUUUCUUUCUCGCUAUUACACUAACUAGACAAACUACAACUACUACACUAGCUUUGCUACUGAUAGAAAUCAGCAUAUCCAAGUAUUCCUUCUAACUUGAUUAAAGUACUAAAAAGUUUCUCAACAGUCUUUGUGUUUAAGCCUAUUAAUAGCACAACAUUACCCUGAAGUACACUUCAUUAAUACUUCCCAGAGAACUAUACAAGUGGGCAGGUGGAGAGUGAUUUGCUCUCAGCGCUGACCCCUAACUUCCUACCGCCACGCUUCAGCCACUGAAGAUUUUUUACAUUCUCACUCUUUUACUCACAAUUUGUGCUUAAAUAUAUACACUGAGCACAUAGGCCAAGAUAUCAUUAGCUAAUGACUGAAGGAAACCAUGAAUAAGCUUAGUCACAUGAGCUGUCCCAGUAGAACUUUGUGUCGAUCACAUCAUGUAACCCCUUUAUACGCCAAGCUGCUUUUGAUGUUUUACUUGUUGAAUGCUGAGUUUUAUUUCCCAACAUACACACGUGUAGGCAAAUAGGCCUUUUGUCCUCUCUUAUAAUUAUCAUGUUGUAUUAUACAAGUAUUACAUUAACAUAUGCUCUAACUGAUGAAGCACAAUGAUGUCAAUAGAAAUAAACAAACACUAUUAAAAAUUGAAGGGGAAAUCUAAUCCUAAACUUUUCAGAACAGAGAGCCUUACUGGAACAUAUAUGUUGGGUAUUUUGAACACCAAUCUUGUUUCAGGAACUCAAACUGGUUUUUUGAUCACCAGGAUGAUCCUUUCUUAGGCUAAAAUGUCCUGGCACAGACACGACAACACUUGCCCUUUAUGCCCGGGAGUGGAAGUUUGCCCUUGCACAGUAAAGCAUCCGAUGGGCCAAAAUGAACACAUUCAGAGAAAGAAGUAAUGACUGCUACGAAGGGUAGAGCACUCUUAGGAAAGAGCUGGUGUCACCACCCACCCUGACAGCUUUAGUGGACAGGGUUAAAGAAAAGCCCUUUAGAGUGCUAACAGAAAUACCCUUGUCAAGGGUGAUGAGAAUGACGCACUUUAUUCAGUUAUUUCUGUUCACUGCCUGCUUACCUAAGAAACAGGUGGUCAACCUGUUGCCUUCCUGCUCUUACCAGUGAGCCAGAAAUUUGUAACAGGGAAGAAAGUACAAGCCUCAAAAAUUAGCAAAACAAUGCCCCAUUAAAAAAAGAAGUAGCAGCAGCUAUCAAGUGAAGAGUCAGCUGCAAAUUUCACAGGUUAUAGUCAGGGUCUACAUUUUCAUCUAAAUUUCGUUCUGCACACGGCAGUUUUCUGAUUUCGCUUCCUUAAAGAGCAAUUUUCCAACACUAAAAACACUUGCUAAACUGCAUCCUAUUUAUCGUUAUAUUAUAAGGCUUUGCCAUCAGCCAUAAAAACAUACUUACGUGCUACCUGACCAACUGGGCAAUGUUAGACCAGUCACUUCAACCCCCAUGUCUCAUUUUCCUGUCUGUAAAACCAAGAAGGAAAAAUAAUCAAAGCAACAGCUUCUACAGCUUAUUUGAAGACAAAGCAUUUUUCGUCUAUAAUUAUGUAAUCUGUGUGAACAAGCCAUUUCUUCUAUUUUAUAUUUAUAUUUAACUUGGCAUGAAGAGAGGGCAUAGCUGACGCAGAAAAAGGUGGAGACAGAGCUUACCUAGAGAGUGAUACCACCUAUAUACCCCAAAGCAUAUUGGAUUGUUACCUGCCUUAUCACGGUUCAUGUGGGAAUGAUUCUAUUUUUGCCAUGUGGUUAUGGAAAAGUCCUGCCUGUGUAUAUGUUCUAAGUGUUGUAGAUAUGAUUCCUAGGUAAGAAUGCUGACACCUGGCACAAGUAUUCUUCCUUUCUCCUUAGAUAAGGAGUAUGCCGUGUUGGGAGUUACACAGAACCAUGCAAGACCUUACUUGCUCUUCCUCUUGCAUGAUUGCCCAGGCACUGCCGCAUUACUUCUAACAUCAUUUCUGCAUGCUGCUUUCUCUCAUGUCCUAUUUGAUCCAUCCCUUGUUUUCAGAUUAAUUGCUUUCUCCAUAAAUCAACUCCCUGCUUACCAUGUUCUAUCAAGGGGGGCUUUAAAUAACUACACAAAGCAUUUUCAGGGGAUCUGGACAAAGCCAGUACACAACCUUCCAAAAAUCCUCUACUUAUAAUUUUACCACAUAUUUUUAUGGUAUUAUAUUAAUAUUCCAAAUUUUUGGUAUUUUAUUUUGGUACACCAAAUUUAUGGUAUUAAUAUACCAAAUAUUAUAUUAAUAUUUACAUAUUAUGCCUUUUUAGUAUUCAGUACCUUUUAAAUCCAGUAACUAAUUUAUUAACCUGACUGAGACAGAAUGUACAUCAGCAUUAGUAAUAUAAGAAUCACUGCAGGUAAGAGACCUAAAUUGCUACCUAACCUUACAUUCCCUUCCACUGAUGCGAACCACUGCAAAAGACGCAGAGUUUCAGAGAGGCUGUAUUGAACUGUCAGUGCAAUUUCUAAUUUGGUCUACCAAGAAUUUUUUAGUCAACUCGAACGUGAGAAGUCAUGGCUCAAAAAUAAGUUCACUGCUAAAGAGAUGGGAAUCAAGUGACUUAAGACUUAUUUGGGGAAGCAGAGAGAAAAGAGAUGCAGCAGUCAUGAAGGGUGAGGAUGGAAACUUAGGUGUAGUUAGUUGUUCCCCAAAUACCAGCAAAGUCAUCAGUAAGAGGGUAAGAUGGCGUCUUCUUCCUUUGUUUAGGCAUAUGCAGUCACUGUUGCAAUCAGUAAGUGCAUCGCUUUUAGGAUGGCUCCCAGACUUUGUCGCUGGCUGGCACAGCGUUUAUCUCAAACCUAAGGCAUUAGUGAGCUAUUGAUCAUCGUAAUAUCAGUUCAGUGAAGCUCAGCACAGUCAAUUCCUUUAGUCUAUUUUUAGUUGCAGUAUUUCCCAUUGGGUUUACUGCAUGCAGAAACGACAUAUGCAAGGGGCAUCAAUAAAUACUUAUACAAGCUUGUUUUUGUUUUCUUCUUUAAAUAUAACCUAUUUUUAUCAACACUGUGGGGAAUACCAAGUAAGCAGUUUAACAUUUUAAGACAAUCUUGCAGCAAGUAUGCUGAGCUGUCAUGGUGUAGAUUAACACAGAGAAUACCAACAAUAGAUAAGCAUAGGAAAUCAGUAAUUCUACCAAAGAAAAGAUAGGAAGAGGAGUGGCAUUGCUA
Non-coding RNA from Phalacrocorax carbo (great cormorant), 8065 nucleotides. Lineage: Eukaryota; Metazoa; Chordata; Aves; Suliformes; Phalacrocoracidae. The record is from RefSeq and is a predicted model, not a curated record.